CAAUAAUUGAAAACUAUUGUCAUUAUCACUAUAAUUGUACCAAGUGAAUAAAAGCAGGGUGCAAAAUUGAAUGUAUAGCAUGAAGUGACCAAAUAAAAUAAAGUCCAUGUUAGCACAAGGGUUUUGAACCUCUGCAUUGGAGCUGAUGGACUUGCACCCUCUCACUGAUUCACACUCCACCUCAACUAGUCAGUUUCACAUUAUAGCAUCUGCCACUUGCACCAACCAGAUGACAAUUCUGGUAUCAUUCAGCUUUCUUUCAGUUGUGACAGACACACAAACUGAAUUAAUCAAAAAGAGGAUUUAUUGGCUCAUAAAAAUUGGGAAAUCUACUGGGCAGAGCUGGUUUUAAGCAAAUUUAGAGUGAGGCAUCCAAAUGAAAUGAUGCUCUCAGGAUUAUUUCUUUCCUUCCCUUCCUCUCUCCCUCCCUCUCUUCCUCUUCCUCCUCCUCCUCUUCUUCUUCUUUUCUCUCUUUCUCUCCCUUUCUUUCUCUCUUUCUCCAAGCACUGCUUGUCUCAGCUUGGAUUUAUUUUCAGACAGACUUUCCCCCACAUGAAAGCAGGAACCUGAUGCAGAGACCUUGUGUUUCAGAGUAAGGCACCCUUUCCAAUAGCUCUAACCGAAGUCCCAGAGUGGUCUUCUAUUGUCUGGACUUGGUUCACGUGGCUGUGCUGAACAAAUCACCGUGGCCUGGGCACAGAUCACUUGGGCUCACUGAGCUCACUUAGAGGCCAGGGGAACAGAGUGAGGCCCAUUGGACCACAAAGAUAUUUUAUUGUUGUUAUAUAAAAGGAGGGUUGGUAACUUCAAAGAAUUACUGAAUAGACACAGAGAAAAAAAAUUGGAAGGAAAUUCUGCAUAAUGUUAGUAUUGAUUAACAUGGAACUCAUGACAGAUGAUUUAUUUUUAUUUCUAUUUCUUAAAAAACAUUCCAAAUGAUCUUUAGUCAUGAUGUGUUAUUUUUAUAAUUGCAAAGAAAAAGGAAAAAAUGGUCCUUAAGAGUUGAGUGAGCUGGUGAGCUCAUCAAAUGGUGUGUGGAUAGGUACAUGUGACCCAAGGACUCUCUUUGGCCCAGCCUCAGACACAGCUGCACAUAGACUGGACUUUUAAGCAAUCAGCCCUCAUCUGGAGCAAAGGCUGUCAUGUGCAUGCAAUAUGUCAUCUCAUCCCUGAUGCUUCAGUUUAUGGGGAAACCAUGUAGUCGUGUUCAAACUUCCAGACAUUGAUAAUCGUGUGGAAAGAAUCCUAGACAAGCAGCCAGGAGACAUGGGUGGCUGUUUCAGAUCUGUCCCUAACAACUGUGUCAGGUGCCAGCCACUUCUUGGCUGCAGGUCCCACAUCUAUAAUCAGAAAGUUUAUUUUCAGCUUUAACAAUCUGUGAUUAUUAUUUGCGUUUACCGAUGGAGUAACUAAUUACUUCAUUAUAGGAUUUCUCAAGACCAGUUACCUCCUGUUUGGUUCAAUUAGCAAAACGCCAAUGUGAUUGUCAUUGAUUUUGAUGGUUUGGCUGCCAGGAGAAAAGCCCAAUGGGGGAAUAUUUCAGGAUCUUUAGCAGAUUUUCUGUUUAUAUUCCAAGGUAGUAUAUAGGAACAGAGCUUGUGCUUCAUUUUUCAAAAUUCUUGUUUAAAAAAUGCUCACACCCCAUCAUUCUCUUCCACUCUGCAGAUGCCCCAGGACUCUUUCACUUUUCCCUUUUAGUUUAGAGGCAGAGAAGAUAAACCAAACAAUAGUCGAGACUGGCUAGAACUGAACCUUUGCUUUUUUCCCUGAACAGAAUCACAGGAUAUUAGACAAAAGGUGAACCUCAAAGAUUAUUCAAUAUAACCCUGUUGGAUUUAGAGGAAACAUUUGCUGAGCAUCUUAACAUAUAUACUACAGAAAGAACAUAUACUGCAGAGUCAAGCAGAGUAUUGAUUGAAUCCUUGCUCUUUCGCUUACAAAUGUGUGACCUUUGAAGAAUUUCUUAAUUUUUCUGAAUCAUAUAUUUAUUAUUCUUUUUUAAUCUUUAAAAUGGGAACAAUAAUAACACCCACCUUGUAGCCUGUAUGGAUGUGGUAGACAGAAUAACGACCCCCCUACACACACCAAAAAUAAUCUAUAUGCUAAUCCCCAGACCCUGUGAGCAUAUUACCUUACAUGGCCACAGAGACUUUGCAGAUGGAUUAAGUAAGGGAUUUUAAGAUGAGAGAGUAUCGUGGAUUAUCCAGGCUGACUUGACGUAAUCGAAAGAACCUUUGUAAGUAAAAAAGCGAGGUGAGAGAGUCAGAGUCAGAGAAGGAGAUGACAAAGGACAGACAGGUUGGAAUGAUUCUGUGGGGUGGUGGGGUGGAGUAGGGGGCUACAAGCCAAGGAAUGAAGGUGGCCUCUGAAAACUGGAAAGGCCACUUAAAACCUCCAGAAGGAACAGAGCCCUGCUGACCAAGUGCAGACUUCUGACCUCUAGAACCGUAAGAUAAUAAAUCUGUGUUGUUUUAAGCCACCACCUUGUGAUAAUUUGUUACAGCAGCAAUAGGAAACAAAUACAGUGGAGAUUAUUGUGUAUACAGAUGGCCUGGAACAACACUACAGUGAGUAGGUGCACUGAAUGCUGCUGUUUUUGCUGCAGUUAUGGUUAUUGUUGUUUCUCUUCCCCUUCCUAUUCUUUUCCUAUUUCUGUCUUCUCCCUCAUCCUUUUUUCCUGUUCUCUUCCUCCUCAUCCUCUUUCUUUCUUCUUCCUUUUUCUCUCAUUAAAAAUAACAGGAAAGAAAGAAAAGAGCCAGCAUUCAAUAAGGACCUCCUAUGUGUCAGGCACCAUCAUUGGUGAUUUCACAUUCACAACCUAAUUCAAUCUGCCAACCCAUUGAAUAAGAUUUCAGUAUUUCCCUUUUACAGAUGAAGAAACCAAGGUCUACUGAAGUCAACUGAGCUGCUUCCAGACUCACUGAGAGUUAGUGACUAUCCCAAGGCUGUCUGUUACUCUGUGCCUCCCUCAUCAUUAGCAGGCUCACUUCCAUUCCAAAAAAGAACUGUUGACCUGCAUCCUAUGUGACCUGGUUGACCAGAGCUAGACUGGGCAAGAAAUUCCAUCACCAUGGCAACAAUGCUAUAUGCUGGGUUGAGGCAUGGUACCCUGCUGAGCCAGGGUGCAGAUGUCAGGGAGAGAUGCUGUGCCCCACGAAGGUGCUGCCAUCUGUCUGAAGACAUCCCUCUGCUCAGAACAGCAAAUAGCUCAUCACACCCCUACCAUUUCAAAUGAGCCGUCCCUUGCUCAGUUCAGGGGAAAAUAAGAAUGACCACCAUUUAUCAAACACCUACUGGGUGUCAGGCAUUGUGCAAGCUUUUUUUUCUCUGAUACAUAUUAUAAUUCUGUGAAGUGGAUAUUGUUUUCCCCAUUUAUAGGGAAAAAACUGAGGCUUAGAGGGGAGAAUGGCCUUGCCCAUUCACAUGUGAAACAGCAGGCUGGAGUGAAGCCAGGUGUGCUCAGAGACUAAGGCCAGGUCUUCCCCAGCUAGUCACACUGCUCCUCACGCCAAGCAAAGACAGUCACAGUGGGUCCCCAAAGGCCUUGAGUCUAAUCUGGCACUGUGUUUAUUUAUUUCCUUUUCCCUCUUGCCCCUUUCACUGCCUCUCUCUUCUUGGGUCGCCAGAUCAUUUGACAGUUUUACGUAAGCACUGGCACCAGGGCCUGGGGUGGGGAGCAUGGGACAUCUUGGUAGAAUGAAGAAUCUACAGAGCUGAGGAGGGAGGAUUGAGCAAGUUAGAGGAGAGGCCCGGCCCAGGGCCCAGAGGGAUAGUCCUCUACCUCCACCACAUGCCUGGCAGCAUGCCUGUGGACUUCUCUGCUUGAAGACUCAAUAAUUUCUGUGUAGAUAGAAGGCAGUGUGGUUAGGAGGGCAAGAGGCCAGCUUCAGAACUGGACAGAUAUGGACUUUAGGCUCACCUCUGCAACUCAGGAACUUUGUGGCCUUGGGCAAGUUGAGUCACAUCUCCAAGUCUCAGUUUCCUCUUUUGUAAAAAGUGUUUGACAAUACAAGCUGGAUCAUGUCAUAGAAUUGUGAGGACCCCACAGCUGGAAGGGGCCAUAGAGGCCAGCUUACUCUACAUGGCAUUCAGGUCCGUGUCUAAAAUUCUUUCACGUAAAGCAUGUUGCUUCUGUGGGAUCAAAUAUGGUAGGCAGUAAAUGGUUGUGCUGAUGCCAACGUCAGGAGGUGACGCAUUAAGAGGAGUUUCCUUGGAGCUUCUCUUUUGCUGCCUUCCAGGAGGGCUUUCCGCAUCUGGUUAUACCAGGACACAGACAACUCCAGGACUCCAUCUGAGAUCUCGUUCCUCACUCUGAGAUUCUUGUUUCAAGCACAUAAAAUGGCAUAAAGGUACUUACUAUCAAACAUGAAUGAAGCACACUAGAUUAAUUGAUAAGCUCAUAAAAUAAGAUUCUUAAAUGAAACCAUUAGAGAAUGUAGAAAUUCCCCUAGACUUUGUUUAAUGGGCUUAUCUAGAGCUGAAGUAGGCAAAAAGUUUAAGGUACCUCCCAUUUCACAAAGAAAAGGGAAGCUGUCAGGUCUGAAAUCCCACCCAUACCUUCUUAUUUUCAGCAUCAGAAUGAGAGAUUUCCCUUUGGCAAAUUUCCCUUUGGGUAACUUCACCUCUUUCCUGGGCUCUUACUUAACUUGCCUUCUCAUUUCUUUCAGAUUGUUCUUCCAUAAUGAUUUCAUCUCUCUCCAGUUCCUCACUAGAUAAUCUUUUAACAGGCAACCAGUCUAUACAUUUUUAUGCCUGCCAUAUGGUAGGCAUGCCUGAGACACUGGUGAUACAAGUGCAAAUUAGUCCUUGUUCUCAAGGAGGCUAUAUUUAAGAGGGGAGAGACAGACAACUCUAAACAAGUCUAUGACAUGCAGUGUAACAUCAAGUAGUACAAAGUGUGAAGAAGAAAAUUAAAACAAGCUUAAGAGUUUUGAGCUUACACAUAGAAGAUUAAUCUCCUCUGAAUCUGCUCUGCUGGAGAGAUCACCUGGAGAACCUACAUAGAGUCCUAGCUCUCACCCAUUUCAGUCUUCCCAGCGCAAGUGCCGGCCAAGUGCGUGAGAUAGAUUCCUGAGAGUGAGAUUCCUGGGUUAAAAGAGAUUCCUGGGUCAAAAGUGCAUUUUUAUUUUGAAUAUAUGUUGCCAGGCUUCUUUCCAAAAUGGUGGUAAUAAGUAACAUGUCUACAAGUGAAGAAUAUGAGUACCUUCCUCCCAGCAUCGCCAGCAAUCAGUGUUACCAUAUUUUCGAACCCUUGGCUCUGAGUGGAUAUAUAAGGUAAUACUUCAUUAUUCCCUGUCUACUCACAAACUUGAGCAUCUUUUUAUAUGUCUGUGGUCCAUUUGAAUUUUCUGUUCUGCAAUUUACUUUUAUGUAGUCUUUACCAUUUUGUUUUUUGAUAAUAUGUGAUAAUCUUGUAUAUUACAGAUAGUGGUCCUUUAUCUGUCAUGUGCAUUGUUAUUUCUCCCCAUUCUUCCCAUUUUAUUGAUUUUGCAGUACCUUUUGGCAUGUAUUUAUUUUUUAUUCUUAUGGUCAGUUAUGUCAAUAUUCUUUUUAUUGCUUUUGGGUUUUCAGUGUUUAUUGGGGUCUCCCCAAUCCCUAGGUUGUGUAUGUAUAUGGCCCCUUUGUUAUCUGUAUUUUACAUUUAAAUAGUUUAUUUACUUUUUUCUUUACAUUUAGUGUGAGGUAGAUAUCCAACCUUAUUUUUCUUUGAAAGGAUAAUCACCUGAGUUAGGAUUAUAUAUUAAAUAAUCUUUCAUUUUUCCACUGUCUUGGCAUACUCCCUUUGCCAUAUGUUACUUUUUUUAUAUAUACCGUGAUUGAUUUUUGGAAUAUUUGUGUGGUUUCUCUGUUUGCCUAUUACUAUUCAGUACUACAUUGGUAUGAGUGCAGAGGAGUUGACAUUCAGGUCACGUUCUGUACUGGUUAGUUGUUAUUGCUCAGAGGCUUACAGCAAGAAACAUUUUUUUUAAAUCACUCUCUUAUUUUGUGAGUUGGCUGGGUAGCUCUUCUGGCCUGAGUCACUUUGCUGGGCUUGCCCAUAGACCUGUGGUCAGCUGGUGGUUUGGCCAGUAGCUGGAUGGUUUAGGUUGGUCAUACUCAUGUGUCUGACAGCUGGUAGGCUAUUCACAUUGGUAGGCUGCCUCCAUUUCUUCCACCUGACUUCUCAUCCUCCAGCAGGCUAAUUCAGGCUCGAGUCCACGGUAGUCUCAGAAUUCUGUGUGUGGCAAGAGAAAGAAAGCCUUAACAUGCAAGCACUUUCAACCUUUGUUUGCAUCAUGUUUGCUCAUGUCUAUUGGUCAAAGCAAGUCAAAUGGCCAAAUUCAGAUUCAAGAGAGGUUCAGAUUCAAGAAAGGAAAAAAUAUACUCUGCCCCUGGAUGCAAGAGGUGUACAUGCAGAAACAGGAAGGGUUUGUUGCCAUUUUUGGAAUCUACCACACCGUAAGAAUCUGAAUGAGAAUUUGUUUUCCAGAAUCAAAUCUGAUCCUUCUCUCUCCAGCUUGUAAAUCUCCCAUGGCACCCUUGAUCUUCAGAAUUAACUCCAGAACUCUUAAUAUGGCAUGGUCUGGUCCCUGCCUACCUUGGCAGACUCAUGUCAGCAAUGCCCAUUCACAAUGCCCUGUGUUCCAACAUGCAGAACCAUUUUAUCUUCCUCUCUCCUGUGCCUUUGCCCCAAUUAAGCUUGUGGUAAGGGAUCCUUAUCUCCUCCCUCCGUGUUUCUGCUUUGUUCCACCCUGGAGUCAAAGAUUUUCCUCUGUCUCAUCACCCCCUUGUUGUUCCUAUCCAAAAGAGAAAUGACCAUUUUUCUUGGAGACAGCUGGCAUCCCUUGGGCUUCACACUUGUGUGGAGAUCCUUAAGAAAAAAGUCCCUGUAUUCUUGCACCUGCAACACUUGUGAGAAGCAGCCUCCCCUUUUAUUCCUCAUUACAUGUCGUCUAUCUACCAACACUGCUCCUUUCUCUGAGGAGGCAGCCCAUGUGUGACUGGGUAGAAAGUCACAGGUGAGGUAGGAGGUAAAAGACCCCAUCACAUUUUCCAAUCAGUAGCUUUACAUUUGAAAAUGUUUGGACCCUUGUCCAGUUAUUAAAAAAGCAAAUAAUUCCACCUCCUUUUAGUUAAUUGAUUCUCAUCCUUGUUAGUUACACUGUGGAGAGGAGGAGGGUCAUGUCCUAUGUCUUAUAUACCAGUGUCUGGGAUAUUCUUCUCCUCCUUCUCACUUAUCUAUCCUUUCAAUUAAUAUUCACUGACUUCCCACUGUGUGCAAGGUGCUGAAAAUACAGUCAUGGGUAGGUCAACAUGGUCUCUGUUUUGACAGUGUUUGUGGGUCAAAGUAAAUCUCUUGUAAAGUCAGCUUAAGGAAGCAUGAUAACACAAUAAUAAGGAAAAAUCACCUUUGAAUCUGAGGUCACACUCAGAAGAACUACUAUGACCCCAAUCCCUUAACUUUCCUUCCCCUCCCUUCAGAAUCCCUGAAGUUUCAUGUAUUCUCCUUGGUGAUUAGUAAAGUGUUCUUCUGGUAAUUCCAGGACUGGUAUCUAUUCUCUGCUUUGUGGCUGAAGCCAGAGCUGCUGAUUCUGUCUUGGAUUCAACUCUCUGAGACCGUAGACACUGGACCCUGACAUUCUCACUGCAGCUCUGCAGCUCUGUUUGGGAAGGCGUCACUCCACUGGGGUUAGAACUGUCUGUUUAGCUCCUCUCUGUAGGAGUGCUAGACUUUCAGUUUCUUAUGGGCUUUUCAUUUUUUUAGGAUCUUGGGACAAAUUAUCUGAUGCAGAGAACAUUUUAAUAGAAACACCCUUUUUUUACACCCUAAGGCAUACUGUUGUUAUUAUUAUUGUUAAACUAAUAUUUAGUAUAUACUUGCUGCAUGCCAAAAAUACUUCCUCUUUAAUUCUUAUAGCAACAUUGAGAGUUAAAUCUACCCAUUUUACAGAUGAGAGAUCAAAGGCUCAGAGAAGAGAAGAGCCAUGCUCAGAGACAAGAAAUCCUUUCUCUGUUCCUCAAUCUUAUUCCCAGUUUCCAAGUAUUGAUUUUCAGCCUCAGAGUAUUCUCUCCUAUUCUUUCUAGGAGAUCUUUCAGGUUCUAAAGCAAAAAGCUUGCUUGUGGCCUGUCCUGGCUGUCUAAGGACCCUAAGUUAGCAAACAGAUUAGGUCUUGCCUCUUUCUCAACACAGUAGGACUUAUUCCACUCUACUGUUUGCAUCGAUAAUGUGCCUUUUUUGGGUUGAGUUGUUGGGAGUGGACUCUGUCCUCUUCACCUCUGAAGUCUUGGAGCCCAGCUCAGGAUCUGGCACAUCGCAAUGAAUGCACCUGUUUAAUUAUGAAGAUGAGAUAGGGACUGGACUUUUGCUCUGAUCUAAGAUGUAGAUAUAAUCCAAGUCCCCAGGGAAGUGUACCUGCAUGGAGCUCUGAGUAUUAUAGGACAAAUAAUCACUGUUUUCAUUGUCAAGCCUCUGAUCUUCUGGUGGAACCACCUUACCUGCUAAUGAGUCAGAAAUAGAACACAAAUAAUAGUGGCUACUAUUUAUGGUGUGGUGAUUAUAUGCUCACUCUGAUGAUAAAAUAUUUACAUGGAUUAUCUCAUUUAGUAUUCAUAACACUGAAUAAGAAUGCACUUCUGUUUUUCCUAUUUUAUGGAUGAGAACCCUAUAGUAUAGAAAAACUAAGUAACUUGCCAAUGUCACACUCCAAGUGGCAGAGAUAGGCUUCAAGCAAAGGUAAUAUAACUCCAGUACCUGAGUCUUUAAAAGAGAGAUGACAAACAAUUUCUUCAUGACAUUUCAGAAAAUGUCUUGGAAGCCACAUGGGGUUUUGUUUUGUUUUGGCAUUAACAAGAGCAGUAGGACUGGAGCUGACCCAGUAGUGAGUCAGAAGUCCCAGAUCCCUGUCCUGACUCUGACAACUCGCAUAGUCUUCCUGGGCUACAAUGUCUUCAUUUGCAGAAUGAUAGUUGGAGCUAGCUGGUCAUGACAAAGAUGGCACGGGUUUUACAGUCAGACAAAGUCUAAAAUUGAUUUCACCACAUACUAACCAUGUGCUAGGGUGAGUGACUUAAUCAUUCUAAACAUCUUUUUUUCAUAUCUGGAGUGCGCAUAAUUUAUGAUUUAUUAACUUAUUAUUUGUUAUAAUAAAAGCUGUUGGAGGCAGAUAAAUGUGUUAUAUAAACAGAAAAGCUCAGGUGGGGCUUUUUACAGAUGCCCAGAUCAGUGCUCCAUGACAUCCUCAGGUCCUCCUGCAGGUAAGUCUGGAAGCAGGAUGCAGUUCUCAGAUUCCUGCCUCUCCAUAGCAUCUUUACAUUCAUUGGUGUUCCAGUCCAAGCAGACUUCGUGAUCUGUGCCUGUGGGGCUUGUGGUUUGAAUGUCUAUGGAGUGUGGCUCCUUGGCAGCCAAAAUCAAUGCCAGGAUUCUCCCGAUGGCUCCUUGUUUUAACAACUCAGUUUUCUUGGCACAACCUUUGACUGCCCUGGGUAUAGGAUUCCUGUAUUUUCUCAAUAUCCUCUCUCUGAAGGGCUUGAGGGAGUCUGAGCAAUCCUACCACCCUUCCUUCAUUUUAUACUCUUGGGAUCUUUACUAAGGGACUGCUAUACACAGGGGGAAAAAGAAAAACAAAACCCUCAACUGACAGAAAAAUGCUUUGUUAAUAGCCAAGAAUCCCAGACACGCUAAUAUACAAAUCUUUGACAGCUUUGAAAUAGAAUGUGACAAAGUAGGGAUGAAGUGGGGUGUCUUGUCUCCCCCAAAUUUAGAGUCAUGGGCUAAAGCAUGCGUAUAAGGGAAGGAAGAUUUAAGCACUGAGUUCCCUGAAAAUAUUCACUCAACCAAGCAGAUGCGUGGGAAGAUGGAAGCCAAGAAGGGGGACUAGCCUGCCCUACAUCUCAGGCUCUGCCCAGGAGAGUUUAUUGCACCAGGAGACAGGAUGAGAAAGAGAUGGGGCAACCUGGGUUCCUGCCCUACAAGGCACAGUGGCCGUGCCCUCCAGUAAAUGUGGCCCAAUGAAUACAGGGAUCUGAUCAGUCAACUCAACAGCACCUCUUUCUGGAAGAGGGAUUCAGGAUGAAGUAGAGAUGGAUAGCCCUGGCAUGAAAAACAAUCUUUGACAUUUGAAGGAAAAGUUCUGGAAAUAUCCUCCCCUAUGACUUAUUAAUCACAAAGGAUUUAAUAUACUCCCUUUUCAAACAGCCAGAUAAUUCACUGGAGAAAAAAAAUUCUUGUUAAAUUUCUAGAUUAUCAAGGUGGGAAGGAUUAUUGAAGACAUCUAGUUUACCAACUCAUCUUUUGGAUGAAUAAAUUAAUAAACUAAGGUCUAGAAAAAAGAAGUGAUUUGCCUAAAGUAGAAUUCCAGGAGGGCCAGGCCAUGGCUUAGUGGUUAAGUUUGCGUGCUCCAAUUAGGCGGCCUGAGGUUUGCUGAUUCGGAUCCAGCUUGAAGAGCACAGCUCAUCAAGCCAUGCUGUAGUGGUAUCCCACAGGGAGGAACUAGAAUGACUCGCAACUAAGGUAUAAAAUUAUGUACCGGGGAGAAAAAAAUGAAAGUGGAGAAUUGGCAACAGACAUUAACUCAGGGCCAAUCUUCCUCACCAAAAAAUAAAUAAAUAAGUGGAUAAAGCAAUACCUUUUUUAAAAAAAAGAAUUCUAGGGUUCCAGAUUACUUAAUUUAUACCUCUAAUCUGGAAAUGCUGUUAUAUUGUUUUCUUCAUUUCUUUUUCCUCUUAUGCUUCUUCCUUCUUGUCACUUUUUUCCCUUCUAAGCCUAGUGUAUACCCCACCUAUAUUCACAAAGGAUUUAUUAAUAUACACAGAAGAAUAUUAAUAGAGCAAUUCAUUCCUAGGUAUGUACCCAGUAGAAACAAGGUCACAUAUCCACCAAAAUAAUUAUACAUAUAUGUUCUUGUCAGCUUUAUUGAUAAACUGUCAAACUAGAAACAACUCAUAUGCCCAUCAACAGAAACAUGGGUAAAAUAUUGUGAUAUAUUUAUACUACAGAAUACCAAGCAGCAAUAAAAAGGACAAACUAUUGGUAAACACAACAACAUAGUUGGACUUUAAAGACAUUAUAUUAAAUAAGAGAAGCCAGACACAGAGGAUAGUAAACCCUAUGAUUCAAUUUAUAUGAAGUUCAAGAAUGGCCAAAACUAAUCUAUGGAUGGGAGUCAGAGUAAUGAGGUUGAAUAUGGUAGAUCUUGAUUGGGAAGAAGCACAAGGUAAGCUUAUAGGAGCGUAAAAAUAUUCUAUAUCUUGUUCAGGGUGUUGGUUAUAUAAGCGCAUACAUGUGCAAAAAAUACAUUGGCCUGUGCACUUUAUAGUAUAUAAAUUAUACCUAUGUUUAAAAAAAUCUUUCAAAGAGCAAUAGAAAAGCUGGAACUAUGCUAAUGUGGAGGAGAAUUAACAUAUCCAAAACCUAGGCUAACAGAUUACUGUAAUUGAAUAUCAAAUUUAAUUUUGAAAUAGCAGCAAAUGAAAAAAUUCCUAAUCAUUUGCUGCUCCCGUUUUCUUAAAUGAAAAUUAAAAUCAUCAGGAGAGAGAUAUUUUAGAAGCCAUAUUCUCCUUCUAAAAUGAACUUAUCAUGUAAUAUUUUAAAUAAAAGACAUUGAACAAUAUAAUGGACAAAAUCUCUGAUUGUAACUCAGUAGAAAUGUUGAGAUAUCUUAAUACGCCCAUUUUUUUUCUACCAGUCUUUCAUAAAGCUGACACAUAUAUAUAAUGAUGAUAUUUUCUUAGAGGAAAAUAAGUUAAUGAGAUCCAGGUGAGCAUCAGUUAGCUAACUCCCAGAGACAGAGAGCUUAGCCCAACACAUCUCCACAGACAUACACAGGCGUCACCUGGGGAUCUUGUUAAAAUGUGAUGUGGAUUCAGCAGGUCAGGAAUGGGGCAGAGAUUCUUUCGUUUCUAGCAAAUCCCCAGGUGAUGCUUUUGCUUUUGGAACAAGGACCACACUUUGAGUAACAAGGACAAGGACUUAGACCACUUAGGAAGUGUGUUUACUCAUCAUUUGUAUUAUUUAUAUUGGGAUUAUUGUUAAAAGUUAGAUUUCUGGUCUCCCUUUCCCCAGGAGGUGGGAUCAAGGAUGCUGCUUCUUUUAAAAAAUAAAUUUCAAGAAGAGUAUGGUGUACACUAAAAUUUUGGAGCCGCUGACUUAGAGAAAUGGAUUUAUGGCAUGCCCCGUACAAUUUCCUGGGAGUAUAAUUGUUGUAGCUGGUUUCACACAACAGGAGAAAGAAAGGGAAAGGGAAAGAACAUAUUUUCAAGGCCUUAUAUACAUCAGUCACUUAUUGGAUGUGCAAUUAACUUUAGUUAAUUUAAUCCUAAUGAAUAUUCUAUGAGGUAGGAAUUGUCAAUAUUCUAGAAUUAAAAAGUAACAGAUGAUCAUUAUUGAGCACAUAAUAUUCCUAGACUCUGUACUAAAUGCUUUAAAACCACUAUCUGAAAGAGCAGCCCAGUGAAUAGGCUCUUGUUUCAUCUCAGUUUUACAGUUCAAACAAUGGAGCCUUAGAGAAAUUCAGUCCCUGUAGAAUCUGGCUGACGAGAGCUCAACCCUCAACCACUACGAGUAGGACCUCGCUCAACUGACACCACACAGCAAGCAGCGAGGCCACGAUGCAACCCAGAUAUUUUAUUUUUGUUUUUAUUUUUUACUUCAACUAUAAUACUUUGACCAAUUGGCACAUAUUAUUUUCCUUUCAUUUUGCUGUUAUUACUCCAUCCUUCAAUUAUUUUGCUUUGAGGAGCAUCAAUGAAAAGACUUAGUGGCUCAGACUGUAAUUGUUAACAUCUGUAUAGUAUUUUACAGUUCAUAGUAUUUUGUGUAUAAAAUACUUUGGCUGAUUUCAUUCUCUAAACCACAUGUAUCCUCAUUUUGUAAAUGAGGAAACCAAGGGACAGGGAAAGGUAAUUAAGUUAUCUGGAAUUCAGACUCCAAACUCCAAAUCUAUGAGCUUCCACUAGGCCAGGCUGCCAAGAGAAAAGGGAGCAGAAAAAUAACAUGGGAGAGUGGGGAAAGCAAUCACGAGGGACCCAGCAGCGUUGCAUUCCAGUCCUGGCUCUGCCACCAGCUGGAUCAACCUCCAGCAAUCUGAUUUCUGUCUUUGGGCAAUAGCUUUACAAUCUUAAACUAAGGGUUUAGAAUAGACAAGUUAUUUUCAAAUAGUGUUGGCUCAUUUUUAUCAAAACCCUUUCUCUGAAAGAAAUCUUACAACAGACUAUUAACUCAUAAAGCAAAUCUUACAGCAGACAGUUAACAACUGGAGCACUGGGAACCCACUCCUUUCCAUUCUAGGGCGGAGCAGGAAUUGUGUCUGUUUUGUUCACUAAGUUUCUAGUUCAGGGUGUGACACAUGUAGGUGCUCAUUAAAGGCUUGUUGAAUGUAUAAGGCUGCUUUAAGGAUUCCUUACAGCUCCACGGGGCACAGUGUCAAGACUAUCAGAUCAACAGGUCUCAGGCUUUCCUGUGAAUCUGAGGCCAAUUUCUUAGAAAGUAAAACUUCUCGUAAGAGUUCAGAUCAAAAGCGGAGAUUUCUCUGGCUACCCCUUCGUGUUCAGGGACCUCAGGUGUUUCCAGGCAAAGUCAUUUCCACAAGGACAGAGUUCUACAGUGUUAUUUUUCAUAUCAUUCUGUAGGAUAUGCUUAGGGAUUGCAUGCUUUUUCCUACAUUCUUUCUCAAGAAAAUACCAACUGAAUAACAAAGCAAAACAGACAAAAUCUAGAUUUACUUAGUAAUUUCUUUUUAAUUUUCUUACCCACUGUGAACUCUGUGCACAAAUCCUUC
RNAcentral lists this long non-coding RNA (13754 nucleotides) under Equus asinus (donkey). RNAcentral's name for it is "lncRNA (ENSEASG00005035740.1)". Lineage: Eukaryota; Metazoa; Chordata; Mammalia; Perissodactyla; Equidae. The record is from RNAcentral.